Molecule: ribosomal RNA, 365 nt
Filed under: uncultured soil bacterium
Lineage: Bacteria
Description: bacterial SSU rRNA
Rfam family: Bacterial small subunit ribosomal RNA
Source: RNAcentral
AGAUUGAACGCUGGCGGCAUGCCUUACACAUGCAAGUCGAGCGGUAGAGUAGCAAUACUCGAGAGUGGCGAACGGGUGAGUAGUAUAUCGGAACGUGCCCAGUCGUGGGGGAUAACGUAGAGAAAUUUACGCUAAUACCGCAUACGAUCUAAGGAUGAAAGCGGGGGACUCGCAAGAGCCUCGCGCGAUUGGAGCGGCUGAUAUCAGAUUAGGUUGUUGGUGAGGUAAAAGCUCACCAAGCCGACGAUCUGUAGCUGGUUUGAGAGAACGACCAGCCACACUGGGACUGAGACACGGCCCAGACUCCUACGGGAGGCAGCAGUGGGGAAUUUUGGACAAGUGGGACGAAAGCCUGAUCCAGCAAU